RNAcentral lists this ribosomal RNA (2814 nucleotides) under Klebsiella pneumoniae. RNAcentral describes it as "bacterial LSU rRNA". It matches the Rfam family "Bacterial large subunit ribosomal RNA". Lineage: Bacteria; Pseudomonadati; Pseudomonadota; Gammaproteobacteria; Enterobacterales; Enterobacteriaceae. The record is from RNAcentral.
UUAAGCGACUAAGCGUACACGGUGGAUGCCCUGGCAGUCAGAGGCGAUGAAGGACGUGCUAAUCUGCGAAAAGCGUCGGUAAGGUGAUAUGAACCGUUAUAGCCGGCGAUGUCCGAAUGGGGAAACCCAGUGCAAUUCGUUGCACUAUCGUUAACUGAAUACAUAGGUUAACGAGGCGAACCGGGGGAACUGAAACAUCUAAGUACCCCGAGGAAAAGAAAUCAACCGAGAUUCCCCCAGUAGCGGCGAGCGAACGGGGAGCAGCCCAGAGUCUGAAUCAGCUUGUGUGUUAGUGGAACGGUCUGGAAAGUCCGACGGUACAGGGUGAUAGUCCCGUACACCAAAAUGCACAGGUUGUGAACUCGAAGAGUAGGGCGGGACACGUGGUAUCCUGUCUGAAUAUGGGGGGACCAUCCUCCAAGGCUAAAUACUCCUGACUGACCGAUAGUGAACCAGUACCGUGAGGGAAAGGCGAAAAGAACCCCGGCGAGGGGAGUGAAAAAGAACCUGAAACCGUGUACGUACAAGCAGUGGGAGCACCUUCGGGUGUGACUGCGUACCUUUUGUAUAAUGGGUCAGCGACUUAUAUUCUGUAGCAAGGUUAACCGUAUAGGGGAGCCGCAGGGAAACCGAGUCUUAACUGGGCGUUAAGUUGCAGGGUAUAGACCCGAAACCCGGUGAUCUAGCCAUGGGCAGGUUGAAGGUUGGGUAACACUAACUGGAGGACCGAACCGACUAAUGUUGAAAAAUUAGCGGAUGACUUGUGGCUGGGGGUGAAAGGCCAAUCAAACCGGGAGAUAGCUGGUUCUCCCCGAAAGCUAUUUAGGUAGCGCCUCGUGAAUUCAUCUUCGGGGGUAGAGCACUGUUUCGGCUAGGGGGUCAUCCCGACUUACCAACCCGAUGCAAACUACGAAUACCGAAGAAUGUUAUCACGGGAGACACACGGCGGGUGCUAACGUCCGUCGUGAAGAGGGAAACAACCCAGACCGCCAGCUAAGGUCCCAAAGUCAUGGUUAAGUGGGAAACGAUGUGGGAAGGCACAGACAGCCAGGAUGUUGGCUUAGAAGCAGCCAUCAUUUAAAGAAAGCGUAAUAGCUCACUGGUCGAGUCGGCCUGCGCGGAAGAUGUAACGGGGCUAAACCAUGCACCGAAGCUGCGGCAGCGACACUAUGUGUUGUUGGGUAGGGGAGCGUUCUGUAAGCCUGCGAAGGUGUGCUGUGAGGCAUGCUGGAGGUAUCAGAAGUGCGAAUGCUGACAUAAGUAACGAUAAAGCGGGUGAAAAGCCCGCUCGCCGGAAGACCAAGGGUUCCUGUCCAACGUUAAUCGGGGCAGGGUGAGUCGACCCCUAAGGCGAGGCCGAAAGGCGUAGUCGAUGGGAAACAGGUUAAUAUUCCUGUACUUGGUGUUACUGCGAAGGGGGGACGGAGAAGGCUAUGUUAGCCGGGCGACGGUUGUCCCGGUUUAAGCAUGUAGGCUGGUUGUCCAGGCAAAUCCGGAUAAUCAAGGCUGAGGUGUGAUGACGAGGCACUACGGUGCUGAAGUAACAAAUGCCCUGCUUCCAGGAAAAGCCUCUAAGCAUCAGGUAACAUCAAAUCGUACCCCAAACCGACACAGGUGGUCAGGUAGAGAAUACCAAGGCGCUUGAGAGAACUCGGGUGAAGGAACUAGGCAAAAUGGUGCCGUAACUUCGGGAGAAGGCACGCUGGUGUGUAGGUGAAGUCCCUGCGGAUGGAGCUGAGACCAGUCGAAGAUACCAGCUGGCUGCAACUGUUUAUUAAAAACACAGCACUGUGCAAACACGAAAGUGGACGUAUACGGUGUGACGCCUGCCCGGUGCCGGAAGGUUAAUUGAUGGGGUUAUCCGUAAGGAGAAGCUCUUGAUCGAAGCCCCGGUAAACGGCGGCCGUAACUAUAACGGUCCUAAGGUAGCGAAAUUCCUUGUCGGGUAAGUUCCGACCUGCACGAAUGGCGUAAUGAUGGCCAGGCUGUCUCCACCCGAGACUCAGUGAAAUUGAACUCGCUGUGAAGAUGCAGUGUACCCGCGGCAAGACGGAAAGACCCCGUGAACCUUUACUAUAGCUUGACACUGAACAUUGAGCCUUGAUGUGUAGGAUAGGUGGGAGGCUUUGAAGCGUGGACGCCAGUCUGCGUGGAGCCAACCUUGAAAUACCACCCUUUAAUGUUUGAUGUUCUAACGUUGGCCCCUGACCGGGGUUGCGGACAGUGUCUGGUGGGUAGUUUGACUGGGGCGGUCUCCUCCCAAAGCGUAACGGAGGAGCACGAAGGUUAGCUAAUCCUGGUCGGACAUCAGGAGGUUAGUGCAAUGGCAUAAGCUAGCUUGACUGCGAGCGUGACGGCGCGAGCAGGUGCGAAAGCAGGUCAUAGUGAUCCGGUGGUUCUGAAUGGAAGGGCCAUCGCUCAACGGAUAAAAGGUACUCCGGGGAUAACAGGCUGAUACCGCCCAAGAGUUCAUAUCGACGGCGGUGUUUGGCACCUCGAUGUCGGCUCAUCACAUCCUGGGGCUGAAGUAGGUCCCAAGGGUAUGGCUGUUCGCCAUUUAAAGUGGUACGCGAGCUGGGUUUAGAACGUCGUGAGACAGUUCGGUCCCUAUCUGCCGUGGGCGCUGGAGAAUUGAGGGGGGCUGCUCCUAGUACGAGAGGACCGGAGUGGACGCAUCACUGGUGUUCGGGUUGUCAUGCCAAUGGCACUGCCCGGUAGCUAAAUGCGGAAGAGAUAAGUGCUGAAAGCAUCUAAGCACGAAACUUGCCCCGAGAUGAGUUCUCCCUGAGACUUUAAGUCUCCUGAAGGAACGUU